GCGGGAGUAGCUCAGAGGUAGAGCGGGGCGCCUUCAGCAGCGCCCAUGUCGCGGGUUCGAUUCCCGCCUCUCGCG
RNAcentral lists this transfer RNA (75 nucleotides) under Gemmata sp. SH-PL17. It matches the Rfam family "tRNA". From Rfam's summary of the family: Transfer RNA (tRNA) molecules are approximately 80 nucleotides in length. Their secondary structure includes four short double-helical elements and three loops (D, anti-codon, and T loops). Lineage: Bacteria; Pseudomonadati; Planctomycetota; Planctomycetia; Gemmatales; Gemmataceae. The record is from Rfam by way of RNAcentral.